Molecule: ribosomal RNA, 578 nt
Filed under: uncultured bacterium
Lineage: Bacteria
Description: partial 16S ribosomal RNA
Rfam family: Bacterial small subunit ribosomal RNA
Source: RNAcentral
UGAGGAAUAUUGGUCAAUGGUCGCAAGACUGAACCAGCCAUGCCGCGUGCAGGAAGACGGUCCUAUGGAUUGUAAACUGCUUUUAUACAGGAAGAAACCCUCCCACGUGUGGGAGCUUGACGGUACUGUAGGAAUAAGGAUCGGCUAACUCCGUGCCAGCAGCCGCGGUAAUACGGAGGAUCCAAGCGUUAUCCGGAAUCAUUGGGUUUAAAGGGUCCGUAGGCGGUCUUAUAAGUCAGUGGUGAAAGCCCAUCGCUCAACGAUGGAACUGCCAUUGAUACUGUAAGACUUGAAUGCUUAGGAAGUAACUAGAAUAUGUAGUGUAGCGGUGAAAUGCUUAGAUAUUACAUGGAAUACCAAUUGCGAAGGCAGGUUACUACUAAGUGAUUGACGCUGAUGGACGAAAGCGUAGGGAGCGAACAGGAUUAGAUACCCUGGUAGUCCACGCCGUAAACGAUGGAUACUAGCUGUUCGGCGCAAGUUGAGUGGCUAAGCGAAAAGUGAUAAGUAUCCCACCUGGGGAGUACGCACGCAAGUGUGAAACUCAAAGGAAUUGACGGGGUCAUAGCUGUUUCCUG